GUCUACGGCCAUGCUACCCUAAACAAGCCCAAUCCUGUCUGAUUUCGGAAGCUAAGCAGGUUGGUCCUGGUUAGUACUUGGAUGGGAGACCACCUAGGAAGACCAGGUGCUGUAGGCU
RNAcentral lists this ribosomal RNA (118 nucleotides) under Pteropus alecto (black flying fox). The record is from RNAcentral. Lineage: Eukaryota; Metazoa; Chordata; Mammalia; Chiroptera; Pteropodidae.